Molecule: non-coding RNA, 106 nt
Organism: Eurypyga helias (sunbittern)
Lineage: Eukaryota; Metazoa; Chordata; Aves; Eurypygiformes; Eurypygidae
Source: Rfam
AUAUCGCUUUUUGGUCCUUAUAUUGUGAAGCAGAAUUCACCAGUUGCUGGAUUGUUCACCCACUAAUAGGGAAUGUGAGUUCUCUUAGACCGUCGUGAGACAGGUU